CUUGAAUGCCACAUUACUUUUACAGCCAACUUACUGUUUUUGUCCUGUUUUAGACAGAGGGAAGCAGUGGCACGAAGACUGUGUAUUAAUGAAUAUAAGAUCAGUUUGCAGCCAUAGGCUACCUUAGAAUUCAGUGGGAGAGGAGACUCUUAUGUGAAUGCUCUGAAAUUUCUUUCCCUAUAACAAGAACAAGUUUUCAACAUUUUUCCCUUUCCAACGUCAUUACAAUGUUAUCUACAGUCCUCCAAGGUCAGCUGCCUAUUCAAAGUCGUCUUCAGUGCGUUGGCUCAGAAGCAUAUGAACUUUGUCAAGGGUGGAGAGAGAUGGAAAGAAGGAAAGAUUUUGGCAGAAUUGAUUCUUCAAAAUUUCCCCUUGUGCUAAUUAGAGAACAUGAUGGAGAUGGAAUGCCAUGACUGAAUGGUUUUGUUUAGCUCUAAAAAUUCAAUUAAAAUAAAUAUUAAUUUCUAAA
RNAcentral lists this long non-coding RNA (469 nucleotides) under Gallus gallus (chicken). RNAcentral's name for it is "lncRNA (ENSGALG00010003008.1)". Lineage: Eukaryota; Metazoa; Chordata; Aves; Galliformes; Phasianidae. The record is from RNAcentral.